Long non-coding RNA from Apis cerana (Asiatic honeybee), 1135 nucleotides. RefSeq lists it as uncharacterized. The record is from RefSeq and is a predicted model, not a curated record. NCBI's taxonomy places the organism in Eukaryota, Metazoa, Arthropoda, Insecta, Hymenoptera, Apidae.
AUUUCGUAUUGUUAUCAAAUAAAUGAAAAUUAAAUUCAUAGUAGAAGAAAAACAAAAAAUACAAAUAAAAUGAAAAUAUUAGAAUUAGAAAUAGAAAGAAUGAUCAAAAGAGAAAACAAUUAAUAAAAUAAUGAUAAAAAAAUAAUGCUAUAAAUUAACAUUUUCUAAGAAAUAUAGUCAUAACAAUGAAAAUAUUUCCAUUCCAAAAUUUAAUUCUAAAAAUAAAAUAUAAAAUAUAAUUGAUUGAUGAUGAUAAUAAGUCAUAACCCAGAAAUCUCUGAUAGAAAUCUCUGAUCAUUCAAAUAUUAGACUGAUGGAUCGAUUAUAUAUGGUCAUGUUAUGUAUAUCUUGUUUACAUUUAUAUUUAUAUUAAUAUAGAAUCAACGAUCUUCCGGUUUCUUAAAUCUACAGCCAAAUGUGACUAUUCAUGCAUUGUUGGAGGAAAAGGACAAUUCAAAGAUGUAAAUCUUUUUUAUAUUUUUUUAAUCUAAUUAAAAAAUUAUAUUCAUACCCUUUUUUAUUAUUUCUUUUUUAACUUUUCAUUUUUACUUUAAUUUCUUUUAUUUUCUAAUUAAUUGUUCUUAAUUAAUUCUUAAUUAAUUAAUUCACAGUUUAUAGAUUCUUCAACCAUUCUGUAUUGUUUAGAUGGAUAUUGAUGGAUUUUUCAUGGAGAUGCAAUAAAUUUUUCUAUUAAGAAUUUAAUUUCAGCGUUCAUCUGUAAUAAUAUCUAUCAUUUAAUACAGAUAAGAUAAUAUUCACAAGCUAUUUACUAUCACGGAAUGAUUUUGCAUUUGCAUCGAUAUUCAAAAUAAUUUUAAUCUGCCGGAGAAACAUCAAUACCUUAUCAUUUAUCCAAUUGAAAUUCAAUAAUUUUUUAAGCCGAGAAAAUAUAUACUUUCGAAUAUUUAUCGUCAUUGAUCUGGAUAUAUAUGCAAUGCUGGAUAUAUAUAUAAGAUAUAUCCACCAGGAUUGACAGAUAAUUGUUUUUCAUACCAGUUGAGCUUUUCAGAAAUGAUAAUGAGAAAAAUGGAACGGCUUUUAUCAUUUUUCUUCUGAAGAACUUCUUCGGAUAUCGAAUAUCAUCAGAAUAACAUGUACAUUGUUUGUACCUGCUCAUCGUGGAUCAUAAUAUAUC